RNAcentral lists this ribosomal RNA (527 nucleotides) under uncultured eukaryote. RNAcentral describes it as "SSU rRNA". It matches the Rfam family "Eukaryotic small subunit ribosomal RNA", at positions 21 to 549 of the family's 1831-position model. The record is from RNAcentral.
UUUUGUCACAUGCUUGUCUCAAAGAUUAAGCCAUGCAUGUCUAAGUACACACUCUCGCAAAGUGAAACCGCGAAUGGCUCAUUAAAUCAGUUAUGGUUUAUUAGAUCGUGCAAUCCUAUGUGGAUAACUGUGGUAAUUCUAGAGCUAAUACAUGCACCUGGCCCCGACUUUACGAAGGGGCGCUUUUAUUAGAUCAAAACCAAUCGGGGAAACCCGUUGACGUGAUGACUCUGGAUAACUUUUUGCCGACCGCAUGGCCUUGUGCCGGCGGCGUAUCUUUCAAAUGUCUGCCCUAUCAACUUUCGAUGGUAGGUGACAUGCCUACCAUGGUUGUAACGGGUAACGGAGAAUCAGGGUUCGAUUCCGGAGAGGGAGCCUGAGAAACGGCUACCACAUCCAAGGAAGGCAGCAGGCGCGCAAAUUACCCACUCCCGGCACGGGGAGGUAGUGACGAAAAAUAACAAUGCUGGGCUUCAAGUCCGGUAAUUGGAAUGAGUACACUUUAAAUCCUUUAACGAGGAUCUAGU